Molecule: ribosomal RNA, 496 nt
Filed under: uncultured bacterium
Lineage: Bacteria
Description: partial 16S ribosomal RNA
Rfam family: Bacterial small subunit ribosomal RNA
Source: RNAcentral
GAUGAACGCUGGCGGCGUGCCUAAUACAUGCAAGUCGAGCGAACAGAUGAGGAGCUUGCUCCUCUGACGUUAGCGGCGGACGGGUGAGUAACACGUGGAUAACCUACCUAUAAGACUGGGAUAACUUCGGGAAACCGGAGCUAAUACCGGAUAAUAUAUUGAACCGCAUGGUUCAAUAGUGAAAGACGGUUUUGCUGUCACUUAUAGAUGGAUCCGCGCCGCAUUAGCUAGUUGGUAAGGUAACGGCUUACCAAGGCGACGAUGCGUAGCCGACCUGAGAGGGUGAUCGGCCACACUGGAACUGAGACACGGUCCAGACGCCUACGGGAGGCAGCAGUAGGGAAUCUUCCGCAAGGGGCGAAAGCCUGACGGAGCAACGCCGCGUGAGUGAUGAAGGUCUUCGGAUCGUAAAACUCUGUUAUUAGGGAAGAACAAAUGUGUAAGUAACUAUGCACGUCUUGACGGUACCGAAUCAGAAAGCCACGGCUAACUACGU